AGGAUGAACGCUGGCGGCGUGCCUAACACAUGCAAGUCGAACGUCCUGUCUCGCAAGAGGCAGGGAGUGGCGGACGGGUGAGUACCACGUGGGUCAUCUACCGUGAGGUGAGGAAUACCGGCGAGAAAUCGCCGACAAGACCGCAUAGGCUCGAUGCAAGUCGAGCAAAGCUCUUUCGAGAGAGGGAGCGCCACACGAGGAGCCUGCGCCCGAUUAGCUAGCUGGUGGAGUAACGGUUCACCAGGGCGACGAUCGGUAGCUGGUCUGAGAGGACGAUCAGCCACACUGGGAUUGAGAACGGCCCAGACUCCUACGGGGGGCAGCAGUGAGGAAUUUUCGUCAAUGGGGGCAACCCUGAACGAGCAACGCCGCGUGCAGGAAGAAGGUUUUCGGAUCGUAAACUGCUUUUCGUCGGGGAAGAGAACGGACGGUACCCGAGGAAUCGAGCCCCGGCUAACUACGUGCCAGCAGCCGC
Molecule: ribosomal RNA, 475 nt
Filed under: uncultured bacterium
Lineage: Bacteria
Description: SSU rRNA
Rfam family: Bacterial small subunit ribosomal RNA
Source: RNAcentral